GCUCUUCUCUCACUAUCUUUUUCCCCAAGGUUUUUUGGGAGAUGGAAGUCUAGAAUUUAUAACCUGAUUUUUAUGACUUUGUGGGCUCAAAAGAGAGAGGUCCAAGUCCAAGAUUUUUCUGUUAUAUUUUAUUUAUUUAUUUAUUUAUUUAUUUUAUUUUUUUUCGAAACGCGUGGGCUUCGCCUAGCGAGCAUGACAGUUCAUGAACAAACUUUUGCUCCUUCAAGAUUAACGU
This 235-nucleotide long non-coding RNA is filed under the name Lathyrus oleraceus (garden pea). RNAcentral's name for it is "Pisum sativum (pea) long non-coding RNA (PSAT_LNC031995)". Lineage: Eukaryota; Viridiplantae; Streptophyta; Magnoliopsida; Fabales; Fabaceae. The record is from RNAcentral.